GGGUCAGUAGGUUGGUCGUGCCACCGGUACGUACUGGUCUCACUGAUUCCUCCUUCCUGAAUAACCGUAAUGCCAUUAAUUUGGUGUUGCGGUGAAACAGGACUGUUACUUUGAAAAAAUUAGAGUGUUUAAAGCAAGCUAACGCUUGAAUACAUUAGCAUGGAAUAAUGAAAUAGGACGAUCGAUCCUAUUUUGUUGGUUUCUAGGAUUGACGUA
RNAcentral lists this ribosomal RNA (216 nucleotides) under Glomeromycotina sp. RNAcentral's name for it is "partial small subunit ribosomal RNA". The stretch from base 40 to 216 matches the Rfam family "Eukaryotic small subunit ribosomal RNA", at positions 686 to 864 of the family's 1831-position model. The record is from RNAcentral. Lineage: Eukaryota; Fungi; Glomeromycota.